Molecule: non-coding RNA, 480 nt
Organism: Podarcis muralis (Common wall lizard)
Lineage: Eukaryota; Metazoa; Chordata; Lepidosauria; Squamata; Lacertidae
Source: RefSeq, a predicted model, not a curated record
GGACUCUCUUGCGGAGAAGACAAACACGAACACGGAUAAGAAGCAAGCAGCAGUUUGGCCGCUGCAGCCAUAUUUUCAGGCUUAUUUCUUGUUUUUGUGAAGGGGCCUCCACACAGAAUAUACCUUAACAGUGAAAUCCUAUACAUAUCUACUCAGACGUAACCCCCCCUCCCCGUGUUCAAGAGUACAUGAUUCCAGGUGUUACAUUUGUAUUCCACUCUUCCCCUAUGGGGCUUACAAGACUUUAUACUCACCGCAACACUUCCCUGAAGCCUCGAGGCAGGAUGAGGAUUUGAACUAGUACUUUGUAUGUCCAAGAAAAGAACUUUAUGCACUGUAUCAAAAUGGCUGUCCACAAAAUAAAGCCUUUCUGUUAAUGGACACAGCCCAGUUCAUGAAACAGAGGGAGCUCUUCCUAAGUAUGCAGCCUUUGUCACCUUCAUUUUUACACACGUGCAUCGUUAUUUAGAACUGAGUAGA